Lolium perenne is the source of this 3729-nucleotide long non-coding RNA. RefSeq lists it as uncharacterized. Lineage: Eukaryota; Viridiplantae; Streptophyta; Magnoliopsida; Poales; Poaceae. The record is from RefSeq and is a predicted model, not a curated record.
AUAUCGCCCGCCUGAAAUCCCGCAUCGUCCGAGAAAAGAGCGAAUAGAAAAAGAAAACCAACUACCUUCCUUGUCAACCGCUGCCCACGGCUCCACCAUCUCCCCCAGCUUGCCGCACAACAAUCCUCCACUCUGCAUCCCCAUACCUCGCGCUGCGACGUUUCCCCUAUCCUCCGUCGCACAUAUCCGCGCUGGAACCCUCUUGUGCGAUUCUGCCCUUGAUCUCCACAAUCAGAACCAUUCCUCGAUCGAGAGAGCUGCGGCGGAGCGGGAGGUGCUUUGAGUAGUAUGCCUGGGGGCGUGUGUGAUUCCUGUCGGAGAGGGUCCAGUGCCACGGAUGGCCAACAAAUCCGCCCUCUCGAUGCCAUCCAUGGGGAAAUGGAUGGGAUCUGCGGACACAGGAUGUCGGUGACGAUGCCACUGUUGACGGAGGGGAUUCACUGCUGUGCUGCAGGUGUUGGCGCGGUGAAUCAGAGCGUGGGCGGGCAUGACAUCGACAGGGACGUACACCCUCCCCAAUGCGUGAGCGGCACCCACACAGCUCGCACCAUGGACCGCUAACAUAGAGACUGCCAGACAUCACUGGCUGCAAGGCAAGUCGGGGCAUGUUCCAAUGGCUGGCGAUGAGACAAGCUCACAAGUUUGGUUACCAAUUUCUCUAUUCAAUUAUUGCUGGUCAGUAUAAUGCAGUCCCUACUAGCAAGCCAAUAUGUGGAAGGGAACCACGAGCAAGCCUACAUGCUUUUAUAUAGUGUUCUGCAGAUUGGAGGUGUGAUUCGUCCAGCAGUUUCGUGUGAGAGCAAGUCAUGUGCAGAGGGGAUAAAUAGAGCAAUAAGUUUUCCUACUGGAUCAGGAAACAUGUGAUAGGUCUGGUGUGGUUGCUAGGGUGAUAAUAAUGCCACGGAUGUGUGAACUUAUAUGGUUUCAAAAUCUUCUUCACCAUUGUCUUUAUGUUACAUCUCAUGUCUUCACGUUUAGGAUUUCUGCAGGUUUAGGUUUUUCAUUAAUUAUUUGCCGAUUCAUAACAGUGGCUUCCUCAUUCUCUUGUCUCGGCAAGACAUUUGUCCUUUCAUGCAUGUACCUUUUUAAGUACAUUGUCUACCCGGUCUUGAUGUUUCUUUCCUUUUGUAGAGAUAUAAGGAUUUUGUGUGUUGCAAAUAAAUACAGUCUCAGGCUUAGCUUAACCUUCAUUUUCUUUUAUUUUUAUAUAAGUUUACUAGCAUUAUUACUGAGUAUUUAGGUCCAUGCUGCCUUUUGGGCAUGUUCAAUUGUUUGUACUAUGUAGCAUUAGCUUAAUAUAUUUCAUAUUAUAUCACCAAACAUAUUGGAUUUGAUACUGCAUUAAUAUUUGGAAUUAUUGGUUGAGAAACACUAGAUUACCUGAGCUGCUGCAUAUUUUUGUUAAUUUGCCGAUGUAAGUAUCGUGGGGCUGUAAUUGUUGAUUGGUUUUAGAUAUGCACAUUUCUAUUUGCAGGUUAUCCCAUUCAUGUUUCUUUACACAAAACUUAACUUGCUUUAUUCCUUGUCAGUUAAUGCUUUAUAUGGAUACUAAAAGAAAAGGCUAGAUCUUUUCCUAAAACAAGAAGCACCAAUUAAAAGAGAGAAUGUUUAGACCUAGCAUUAUAUGUAGAUAUAACUGUGGACAAAGCGAAUUGCUAAAACAAAUUGCUAUCUCCCUAGGCGCUCUAUUUGUGAAUUUGUUUUCUGCUAGGUUAUCAUACCAGUUGUUGCGCACGGAAGCUUCAAGCCAUGGAUCAAGUUGUGCAAGCCACCCGCGUUCGGUGGCAUGCUGCCCAAGUCGGCGGCAGCCAAGGGAAUUUCUUCAUGGUAUGCUGAUUCACUUCAAGUAGGUGUUGGGUCAUGACAGCCGAGGAUGUGGAUUAGGACGCAAGUUCGAUGGUGCUCCGGACUAGCACGCACUGUGUUCAAAGGAGUGACUGUCUUGGAUGUAGUUUCUUACAAGGAACAAGGUACCACCGUGAAAGGGAUGGGAGCUGACCACCUAUACUGCCUAACAUUGACAACAAGGCUGAUCUACACAGCACCCUGGACAUCCACAAGUGUUGUUGCACAACUAUUAUAUGUACUGAAUCUGGUUGACGAGAUUGCCAACUGGCUAGAAGCAGUUUUAUUCAUUCUCAUAGCACAUGAUAUAUUUGCUGGAGAGAGCUGCCAGAGAGAAUGGGGAUCGGGGUAGAACCAUCUGGUGCCGCAGCACCUGCAGUUGAACUUUCUCCAUUGCAUCCAUCUGAAACUCUCUUGAGACAAAUCAAUUACAAAAUACCAAGAAUAUGUUCUCUGUUGCGAUACGGUGGGGAUGCUAGCCAAGACAUGAGAACGAUGAUGCACAUAUCAUGCUAUGUCGUGCGUUGAUGGGUCGGCCAGAGGCUAUCCUUGCCAGGUCCUCCGAGUUCUACCACAAUAGUAACAACUACAACAGCGCUCUCGACAACAUGCAGAAUUCACAGCAGUACAUUUUGUGGAGCACCAACAUGAACACAAGAGUCCUACCAGAGUACUUCAUCAGCAUCAAGUUCCCAGAGUGCGCAACACCUGCAAGGAUCAUUGGGAGCUUUCCAAUCCUUGGAGACGUGAUUCAGUGGUUCGUUGCGAUUAGCCAAGCUAUAGAUAUUGCAGGGAACUUGCAAUCGAUUCAAGAUAAAUUUAUGUUCUUUGCCUGAUCGUCACAUCUGCUGCAUUUGACUAAUGUAAUUGUGCGGUCCCUACCAUGCAGCCAUACGGAACAUCCUCGCCACCAGCGCCUCCCCUCUCUCUCUCCUCUCUUAUCCAGUUGAGAGUCCUCCACCUCCCCCCGGCUCCUCUCUCUCCCCUCUCCGGCGGCUUGGCCGGCCGGAGUAGGCGGGAGAGAGGAGGCCGGCCUGUAUAUAGUCGGUGUAGGUUUUUAGUUGUAGUGUUUGGGCUUCGUCCCAGUUUGGCGACAUGCCGGUGGAGGCUUUGUCGGCCAUGGCGCGCGGGCGGCGCAUGGCGGCAGGAAGAGAAGCUGUUCCGGCUCGUGGAGCUUCAGAGGAUGGAGCAGGCGAGCAGGGGAGCAAAUCUUCCCUCCACAAGAGUCAAUAAGGCCCAGGUUUGUGUCAAGCUCGAGAUCUGGCUGCCUGUUUCUCCCCCUUCUCUGGCCGGCCGCGGUGGCGAGGGGAAAAGGGGUGUUGAUGCAGAUCCAGAUGCUCAAGCUUGGUGGCACAUGGGUGAGCGUGCGGUGCUCACUGAGUUGGAAGCUUUCUAUUGGCGGCAGAUAUCAAGCGCCGGCGACGUCCGCCGCCGCUAUUCUUGGCCAAGGGGGCCUCUCCGCACCUCGGAAGAGCCAGCUCCGGGGACCAUCUACUUCCCCCAGGCCGAUGUGCUGGGGGGGAAGAUCUUUGAUCUGGGCGUGGUAAUCCAUCCUGGUGGUGAACCAAGUGGCGAAGUCCCCGGCGUCGCCGCCAGAGACCACGCCCCAAGAUCCUGUCGACGUGGUGGAGAAGAAGGACCUGAUUGCUUUCUUUUUAAUCUUUUUGGGUUCCUUUUUGUAAAAUCUUCGGACUCUUGUGCUAAUGUUCCAAAAGCCAAGGUCCUCCUUGUAAUUGUUCCCACCGACUAAUGAAGCUUCCAGGCCUUUGUGGCCUUAUCUGUUCAAAAAAAAAAAAAAAAUACCAUGCAGCCAUACAAUAAGGAAGAAAAUAAAGUGCAUUACCUAGAAUUUCCCAACUUUGGUAGACGUGAAUUUCUAGGAUC